This 347-nucleotide unclassified non-coding RNA is filed under the name soil metagenome. Its description in RNAcentral is "partial contains 5.8S ribosomal RNA, internal transcribed spacer 2, and large subunit ribosomal RNA". The stretch from base 1 to 120 matches the Rfam family "5.8S ribosomal RNA", at positions 35 to 154 of the family's 154-position model. The record is from RNAcentral.
GAUGAAGAACGUAGUGAAAUGCGAUAAGUAAUGUGAAUUGCAGAAUUCAGUGAAUCAUCGAGUCUUUGAACGCACAUUGCGCCCCCUGGUAUUCCGGGGGGCAUGCCUGUCCGAGCGUCAUUGCUGCCCUCAAGCACGGCUUGUGUGUUGGGCCCCCGUCCCCGGUUUCCCCCGGGGACGGGCCCGAAAGGCAGCGGCGGCACCGCGUCCGGUCCUCGAGCGUAUGGGGCUUUGUCACCCGCUCUGUAGGCCCGGCCGGCGCCAGCCGACACCCAACUUUAUUUCUAAGGUUGACCUCGGAUCAGGUAGGGAUACCCGCUGAACUUAAGCAUAUCAAUAAGCGAGGA